Molecule: non-coding RNA, 72 nt
Organism: Astrocystis sublimbata
Lineage: Eukaryota; Fungi; Ascomycota; Sordariomycetes; Xylariales; Xylariaceae
Source: the annotation of a GenBank genome assembly
GCCGUACUAGAGAAAUGGUAACUCGCUGGACUCCUAAUCCAGAGAUUCUCGGUUCGAGUCCGGGGUGCGGCA